RNAcentral lists this ribosomal RNA (450 nucleotides) under uncultured bacterium. RNAcentral describes it as "partial 16S ribosomal RNA". It matches the Rfam family "Bacterial small subunit ribosomal RNA", at positions 354 to 796 of the family's 1533-position model. The record is from RNAcentral.
GUGGGGAAUUUUGGACAAUGGGCGCAAGCCUGAUCCAGCAAUGCCGCGUGCAGGAAGAAGGCCUUCGGGUUGUAAACUGCUUUUGUACGGAACGAAACGGUCCUGGCUAAUAUCCGGGGCUAAUGACGGUACCGUAAGAAUAAGCACCGGCUAACUACGUGCCAGCAGCCGCGGUAAUACGUAGGGUGCGAGCGUUAAUCGGAAUUACUGGGCGUAAAGCGUGCGCAGGCGGUGCUGUAAGACAGGCGUGAAAUCCCCGGGCUCAACCUGGGAAUUGCGCUUGUGACUGAAAGGCUGGAGUGCGGCAGAGGGGGAUGGAAUUCCGCGUGUAGCAGUGAAAUGCGUAGAUAUGCGGAGGAACACCGAUGGCGAAGGCAAUCCCCUGGGCCUGCACUGACGCUCAUGCACGAAAGCGUGGGGAGCAAACAGGAUUAGAAACCCGGGUAGUCC